This 418-nucleotide long non-coding RNA is filed under the name Elaeis guineensis (African oil palm). RNAcentral's name for it is "long non-coding RNA (EGUI_LNC051777)". The record is from RNAcentral. Lineage: Eukaryota; Viridiplantae; Streptophyta; Magnoliopsida; Arecales; Arecaceae.
UGAAAGAAAGCAAGAGAACGAGAGUUUUAGACUUAAGAGCUUCUCUUUUAUGUGAGAUUGGAUGUAUUAGGAUUUUGGGUUUGAGAGAUAACUAUUUAUUUUUAUACUAUAUUUUAUUAUAAUAAAAUUUUUUUGCUCUGUCCUCACCCAUGGAGUACGUACACUGUCGAACUACAAAAAUUACUAUGUCAGUAUGUUUUUUCUUUUCUCUCUACUUUUCAUAUCUUUCAUAACAAACUGGUAUCAGAGCCAGUUGCAUCAAAUCAAUCGCUAUAGCUUCUUCAUCAUUUGAUAUUGAGAAGUUUGAUGGUACUGACAGUUUUAAUCUAUGAUAAGUUAAGAUCCGUGCAGUCCUAACACAGAAGGGUUUGAAAAAGGCACUGUUAGGAAAAAAGAAGAUACCCAGUAAUUUGACAGA